GGAGGGUACUCUGGAGAAUCCCAUUAAAUUGGGUGCCGAAGGUGCAAGGUUUACAUUUUAUGUGUAAGCUGAAUCUCUCAGGCAAAAAGACAGUGAUAAUGAG
Molecule: non-coding RNA, 103 nt
Organism: Anaerovibrio sp. JC8
Lineage: Bacteria; Bacillati; Bacillota; Negativicutes; Selenomonadales; Selenomonadaceae
Source: Rfam